GAUGAACGCUGGCGGCGUGCCUAAUACAUGCAAGUCGAGCGAACGGACGAGAAGCUUGCUUUUCUGAUGUUAGCGGCGGACGGGUGAGUAACACGUGGAUAACCUACCUAUAAGACUGGGAUAACUUCGGGAAACCGUAGCUAAUACCGGAUAAUAUUUUGAACCGCAUGGUUCAAAAGUGAAAGACGGUCUUGCUGUCACUUAUAGAUGGAUCCGCGCUGCAUUAGCUAGUUGGUAAGGUAACGGCUUACCAAGGCAACGAUGCAUAGCCGACCUGAGAGGGUGAUCGGCCACACUGGGACUGAGACACGGUCCAGACUCCUACGGGAGGCAGCAGUAGGGAAUCUUCCGCAAUGGGCGAAAGCCUGACGGAGCAACGCCGCGUGAGUGAUGAAGGUCUUCGGAUCGUAAAACUCUGUUAUUAGGGAAGAACAUAUGUGUAAGUAACUGUGCACAUCUUGACGGUACCUAAUCAGAAAGCCACGGCUAACUACGUGCCGGCAGCCGCGGUAAUACGUAGGUGGCAAGCGUUAUCCGGAAUUAUUGGGCGUAAAGCGCGCGUAGGCGGUUUUUUAGUCUGAUGUGAAAGCCCACGGCUCACCGUGGAGGGUCAUUGGAAACUGGAAAACUUGAGUGCAGAAGAGGAAAGUGGAAUUCCAUGUGUAGCGGUGAAAUGCGCAGAGAUAUGGAGGAACACCAGUGGCGAAGGCGACUUUCUGGUCUGUAACUGACGCUGAUGUGCGAAAGCGUGGGGAUCAAACAGGAUUAGAUACCCUGGUAGUCCACGCCGUAAACGAUGAGUGCUAAGUGUUAGGGGGUUUCCGCCCCUUAGUGCUGCAGCUAACGCAUUAAGCACUCCGCCUGGGGAGUACGACCGCAAGGUUGAAACUCAAAGGAAUUGACGGGGACCCGCACAAGCGGUGGAGCAUGUGGUUUAAUUCGAAGCAACGCGAAGAACCUUACCAAAUCUUGGCAUCCUUUGACAACUCUAGAGAUAGAGCCUCCCCCUUCGGGGGACAAAGUGACAGGUGGUGCAUGGUUGUCGUCAGCUCGUGUCGUGAGAUGUUGGGUUAAGUCCCGCAACGAGCGCAACCCUUAAGCUUAGUUGCCAUCAUUAAGUUGGGCACUCUAAGUUGACUGCCGGUGACAAACCGGAGGAAGGUGGGGAUGACGUCAAAUCAUCAUGCCCCUUAUGAUUUGGGCUACACACGUGCUACAAUGGACAAUACAAAGGGCAGCGAAACCGCGAGGUCAAGCAAAUCCCAUAAAGUUGUUCUCAGUUCGGAUUGUAGUCUGCAACUCGACUACAUGAAGCUGGAAUCGCUAGUAAUCGUAGAUCAGCAUGCUACGGUGAAUACGUUCCCGGGUCU
Molecule: ribosomal RNA, 1370 nt
Filed under: uncultured bacterium
Lineage: Bacteria
Description: bacterial SSU rRNA
Rfam family: Bacterial small subunit ribosomal RNA
Source: RNAcentral